GGCGUAGGGGGCCAGCGUUGUUCGGAAUUACUGGGUGUAAAGGGUUCGUAGGCGGUGCGGCAAGUUGGGAGUGAAAUCUCUGGGCUUAACCCAGAGGCUGCUUCCAAAACUGCUGUGCUUGAGUGUGGGAGAGGCGCGUGGAAUUGCAGGUGUAGCGGUGAAAUGCGUAGAUAUCUGCAGGAACACCCGUGGCGAAAGCGGCGCGCUGGACCACUACUGACGCUGAGGAACGAAAGCUAGGGGAGCAAACAGG
RNAcentral lists this ribosomal RNA (253 nucleotides) under uncultured bacterium. Its description in RNAcentral is "partial 16S ribosomal RNA". It matches the Rfam family "Bacterial small subunit ribosomal RNA", at positions 524 to 776 of the family's 1533-position model. The record is from RNAcentral.